RNAcentral lists this long non-coding RNA (493 nucleotides) under Phoenix dactylifera (date palm). RNAcentral's name for it is "long non-coding RNA (PDAC_LNC017159)". Lineage: Eukaryota; Viridiplantae; Streptophyta; Magnoliopsida; Arecales; Arecaceae. The record is from RNAcentral.
UCUUUGAUAAUAGAGUCCUUAUCCUUAAUCAGUUUUUCAGUUUUAUGACUGUAAGAUUGAUUAGUUAGCUUCAAUUCUUUGUUUUUAAAGAUUAUUGUCCUAUAUUCAUCCAUUAGUUCAUUAAAAGCAUCAUACAAUUUUUCAAAGGUAAAAUCUAAAUGAUUUUCAAUACUUACCUCAUCCUUGUUGGCCAUAAGACAUAUGUUGGCCUUCUCUUCUUAUUCUUCUUCUGAUGAUGAGUUGUCGGAUUCUGUCCAAGUAGUGAAGAGGGCUUUCUUCUUCUUGAAUCUGCCCCUUUUUUUCAAUAUGGGGCAGUCGGCUCUGAAAUGACCCAGCUUCUUGCACUCAUAGCAUCUGAUUCUCUCACUUUCCUUCUUCUUACCCUUGUCCUUGUCGAAGGAGCUUGAAGGGAACCUUUUCUUGUGGAAGGUUUUCUUUCUAUUAAUGAACUUCCUAAAUUUCCUCACAAGAAGUGCCUCUUCUUCAUCCUCCU